GUGUCAGCAGCCGCGGUAAUACGGAGGGUGCAAGCGUUAUCCGGAUUUACUGGGUUUAAAGGGUGCGUAGGCGGGCCUGUAAGUCAGUGGUGAAAUCUUCCCGCUUAACGGGAAAACUGCCAUUGAUACUAUAGGUCUUGAAUUCAGUUGAGGUGGGCGGAAUGUGUCGUGUAGCGGUGAAAUGCUUAGAUAUGACACAGAACACCGAUUGCGAAGGCAGCUCGCUAAACUGACAUUGACGCUGAGGCACGAAAGCGUGGGGAUCAAACAGGAUUAGAAACCCCUGUAGUCC
This 292-nucleotide ribosomal RNA is filed under the name uncultured bacterium. Its description in RNAcentral is "partial 16S ribosomal RNA". It matches the Rfam family "Bacterial small subunit ribosomal RNA", at positions 505 to 796 of the family's 1533-position model. The record is from RNAcentral.